Molecule: long non-coding RNA, 1410 nt
Filed under: Homo sapiens (human)
Lineage: Eukaryota; Metazoa; Chordata; Mammalia; Primates; Hominidae
Description: long intergenic non-protein coding RNA 635
Source: RNAcentral
GAACAUCUUACGGAUGGCCCAGGGCUCCAAAGGCUCGUUUCCUAAGUGAGAGAGAGCCUGGCUGAAGCUGUAUUACCAUUCAUUCUCCAGCCUCCGAAGUCUCAAAGCAUCACUUCCACCAUACUCUAACUGUCAAGACAAACACAAAGGCCCAGAAACUGCCAGACUGUCUUCUGAAGUGGCUAUAAUAUUUACACUCCCAUCAGCAGUGUAGAAGGGGUCUCACUAUGUUGUCUGGAGUGCUGUGGUGGAGUGGAGUGGCUAUUCACAGCUGAGUUUGCAGAGUAAACCACUACCCUGAAAUCUGGAAAGGCAGGUGCACCCACAGAUCCUCAGCUGAGAUCCAAUUACCUGAAAUAGAAGCUGCCAUUAGGAACACUUAAAAGAGCCUGUUCUGCUGGGACACAGAAUCACUUGCUCCAUCUCAUACAUUGAUGAUGAUUAAUUUGUAUGUGUACCUUCCAAAAAAGAUGGUUGUGUUUGAAUGGAGGCCUUCUGGACAGGAAAAUUGCAAAGUACAAUUAACAUUUGAGUCUGUCUGAGUCAUGAAGAAAUGGAGAUUACUGAAAAUAAUUCAUUUUGGUAUCUUCUUACAUCCUGAGAGACUAAUCUUUCCAAGUUCAUCUGAGGCUCCUCUUCUCCAUGACAACCUCAUCCAGGGAUUUCUUCCUGUCCUGGUGUUUUAUGACAUAAUCACAUCCUUCCUGAGAUAAUGAGCACACAAUUGCCUGGAUACCUGAAGGAAUGGAGACAGCGGCAGAAAACACUGCAGAGAGAUACAGUGAACCCACAUGUUGAAGCUUUCUAGUAUAAUAAAAAUUUCAACUGUUCUGUUGAAUCAUCUGCCUGAUUGGAGGCUACAGAAAAGAUGUCAUCUUAGGAGUGCUUGCUCUGAGUGAGGCUCAUCUUCAAAUCUGAAUGACCACAAGGAGAUUUGAUUAUACAUGUGAACACCUCAGAAGGCACAGCCCACCCAGAAGGCAGACAGGUCAGGCUGCUUUUUCUUCAUUGCUUGGAUUCAAUCCUCCGGGCGGCUCAGGCUCAAACAUAACUUAAGCAUGAUUAAACUUUAGAAGAAGCUGCCAGGAAGACUGUGAAAUCUUCAUGCCCAAGGAUCCCUAAAAUUAGGAGCAACAACCACUUGGCUCAGACGGUUUAUGGAGGCAAAGGUUUGGAUGGGAUUAGAGAUUUCUAAAUGUGAGUUCGUGUCCUCUGCCAGACCACCUUACUUCCACCAUUCCUCAGCAAAUCAAGAAAAACAGGAGAAAAGACAUGCCUUUCCAUAAGUUAAAUCUAUUCUGUUUUAAUUCUAUAUUAUAUCUGCUGUACAACUUCUUUUGUUUGUAACACCAUAUUGUUGCUAGUAACUGGAAAUUAAUUUUCACAUGCCUCAGCUUAGAAAAAUAAAAA